RNAcentral lists this ribosomal RNA (468 nucleotides) under uncultured bacterium. Its description in RNAcentral is "partial 16S ribosomal RNA". It matches the Rfam family "Bacterial small subunit ribosomal RNA", at positions 28 to 507 of the family's 1533-position model. The record is from RNAcentral.
GACGAACGCUGGCGGCGUUCUUAACACAUGCAAUUCGAACGGAAAUGCCCUUCUUUUGUGGGGUGCUCGAGUGGCUAACGUGUGAGUAACUCGUGAUUAACCUGCCCUUGACUUUGGGAUAACUUCAGGAAACUGUGUCUAAUACCGGAUAGGAUCUCCUGCUGCAUGGUGGGUGUUUGACAGUUUCGGCGGUUGGGGAUGGACUCGUGGCUUAUCAGCUUGUUGUUGUGGUAGUGGAUUACCAAGGCUUUGACGGGUAGCCGGCCUGAGAGGGUGACCGGCCACAAUGGGACUGAGAUACGGCACAGACUCCAACGGGAGGCAGCAGGGGGGAAUAUUGCAAAAUGGGCGGAAGCCUGAUGCAGCAACGCCGCGUGCGGGAUGACGGCCUUCGGGUUGUAAACCGCUUUCGCCUGUGAGGAAGCGUGAGUGACGGUAAUGGGUAAAGAAGCACAGGAUAACUACGUG